RNAcentral lists this ribosomal RNA (486 nucleotides) under uncultured bacterium. Its description in RNAcentral is "partial 16S ribosomal RNA". It matches the Rfam family "Bacterial small subunit ribosomal RNA", at positions 28 to 507 of the family's 1533-position model. The record is from RNAcentral.
GACGAACGCUGGCGGCGUGCUUAACACAUGCAAGUCGAACGCUGAAGACCUGGCUUUUGUUGGGUUGGAUGAGUGGCGAACGGGUGAGUAACACGUGAGUAACCUGCCCUCUUCUUUGGGAUAACGCCCGGAAACGGGUGCUAAUACUGGAUAUUCACUGGCCUUCGCAUGGGGGUUGGUGGAAAGGUUUGUUCUGGUGGGGGAUGGGCUCGCGGCCUAUCAGCUUGUUGGUGGGGUGAUGGCCUACCAAGGCUUUGACGGGUAGCCGGCCUGAGAGGGUGACCGGGCACAUGGGGACUGAGAUACGGCCCAGACUCCUACGGGAGGCAGCAGUGGGGAAUAUUGCACAAUGGGCGAAAGCCUGAUGCAGCGACGCCGCGUGAGGGAUGGAGGCCUUCGGGUUGUAAACCUCUUUCGCUCAUGGUCAAGCCGCAACUGUGGGUUGUGGUGAGGGUAGUGGGUAAAGAAGCGCCGGCUAACUACGUG